Molecule: ribosomal RNA, 439 nt
Filed under: uncultured bacterium
Lineage: Bacteria
Description: bacterial SSU rRNA
Rfam family: Bacterial small subunit ribosomal RNA
Source: RNAcentral
UGGGGCAGCACAGGUAGCAAUACUGGGUGGCGACCGGCAAACGGGUGCGGAACACGUACGCAACCUUCCCUUAACUGGUGAAUAGCCCUCCGAAAGGAGGAUUAAUACACCGUAACAUAAUGAAGUGGCAUCACUCUAUUAUUAUAGCUUCGGCGGUUUAGGAUGGGCGUGCGCCUGAUUAGGUAGUUGGCGGGGUAACGGCCCACCAAGCCUGCGAUCAGUAACUGGUGUGAGAGCACGACCAGUCACACGGGCACUGAGACACGGGCCCGACUCCUACGGGAGGCAGCAGUAAGGAAUAUUGGUCAAUGGACGCAAGUCUGAACCAGCCAUGCCGCGUGAAGGAUGAAGGCCCUCUGGGUUGUAAACUUCUUUUAUAGGGGACGAAAAAGGAUCAUUCCUGAUCACUUGACGGUACCCUAGGAAUAAGCACCGGCUA